RNAcentral lists this ribosomal RNA (253 nucleotides) under uncultured bacterium. RNAcentral describes it as "partial 16S ribosomal RNA". It matches the Rfam family "Bacterial small subunit ribosomal RNA", at positions 524 to 776 of the family's 1533-position model. The record is from RNAcentral.
UACGAAGGGGGCUAGCGUUGUUCGGAAUCACUGGGCGUAAAGGGCGCGUAGGCGGCCACCCAAGUCAGGCGUGAAAGCCCCGGGCUCAACCUGGGAACCGCGCUUGAGACUGGUUGGCUCGAGUUCCGGAGAGGUGGGUGGAAUUCCCAGUGUAGAGGUGAAAUUCGUAGAUAUUGGGAAGAACACCGGUGGCGAAGGCGGCCCACUGGACGGACACUGACGCUGAGGCGCGAAAGCGUGGGGAGCAAACAGG